Molecule: long non-coding RNA, 1985 nt
Filed under: Rattus norvegicus (Norway rat)
Lineage: Eukaryota; Metazoa; Chordata; Mammalia; Rodentia; Muridae
Description: long non-coding RNA NONRATT032447
Source: RNAcentral
AUGACCUCUCGCUCUCUGCCCACCAGAAAAGUUCCAGGAAGAAAAAUAACAUCACAAAAUGAAGAGGUGGUCCUCAACUUUGGCAGACUGAGGUUGAGUGUGAACGAACUGCGAGUCCCCAUCUGUCAUGAAGAGCACCUGUGCUUCCACACAGACCCUGGAAGGAUGAGAGAAAUCUGUCACGUGCCCCACACCACGCACCUGUCACCUGGCCAAGCUACUGAAGCGCUGUUACACGGCUACAGGGGCGCUGUUGCAUUCGUAAGUGUCCUCCAGCAAGAGGCCAAUAUACACACUCAGUACUCAGCAGUGUCUGUCUUAAUGCAUCUAAAGGCAGGACCUAAGUAACCCAGUUCCCAGAUACCAACAAGAGCUCCAGAAGCAAGAGGGCAACUCCUACCAAACACGGCACUGAAAUCACACAUCAGUCACACUUCCUCUAUAUUUAAAACUGUCAUCUGGUGAUUGAAAAGAUGGCCCGGAAGUUAAGACCAUUUGCUAUUCUUCUAGAGAACCUGCUUCUUCAGUGGACACCUGUGAACAAGUCUCUCUUUCUCUCUCUCCCUCUCCCUCUCCCUCUCCCUCUCCCUCUCCCUCUCCCUCUCCCUCUCCCUCCCCUUCUCCCUCCCCCUCCCCCUCUAACACACACACACACACACACACACUAUUUAAAAACUUAAAACUAUGCCAUGUUUAACCUAACAAAAUCUAACCCUUAUUUAUUCUUUCCCCAGGUCUCCUGCAGUCACUCAUGUAAGAAAUGCCUUCUCUCUUAGGCCUCCACAAACUCCUGAAGCUGGAGGGCGGAGGAGUAAGAGCCCGGGGACGCCAAAAUAAACGAGCAGGUGAAAGGGAAAGACCAGGGGCAUGUGAAUGGAAUAAAGUAAAUAUACUUUACUUCGAUGUAUAGACAUCUUUUCCCGUGUCCCUCCUUCCUGCAGUUUUGAAAAGUAAACACAAUUUCUCAGGUCACACCCAUGGAGAGCAGCUUUCGUGCCUCACAGGAAAGUAAGCUGAUCCUCUUCUUCUUCAGUCUCCUGUGGCCCACUGUUUCCCAACUAUCCCAGCCUACCCAUGCAACCACCAAAAACCUAUGACGUUUGUGCUGAGUUGAAAACAAAGUAAAUAUUGGUAACUAGUGAGAUGGGAAAAAUAAAGAAGAGAGUGAAGGGGCGGGUGUAAAGGGGGCUCUCCUUAGACAAGUACUUACACAUCCCUUGGUGGCUGUACCAACUGUCCCUGCUAUGAAGGUGUGGUGACCACAGAGACAAGCAUAGCUUUGGACUCGUACACCAGAGUUAGAGUUCAGCUGCACGGGUCACCGAAGCCUCCUCGGGCAUAUUGCAUAGCCUGCGCAUAUGACAGGAGUACCUAAUGGCCCCUUCUGAGAUGGUAGUCAUAGAGGGGGUUGGGGCAACAUUCCCUGAGGUCAUUAGAAUCUUUGAGAAGAGGCAGUGUGGUCCUUUGGAUUGUGGGGGAUGAAAAGAAGCUGCUUGUAUAGAGAGAGAAGAAAAAGAUGAGUCCCUGACGGAUUUCUGUACACGGCUGAACACUCCGUGGGUUAAACCUGAGGCCUGGUGUUCAUUAGAAUGUAAUAGUGUUAUCUUUAACUAAUUGCUUACAUAGGUCAGUACUGGUGGUUCACUUAUUGCUAACCAAAGCACCUCCACGUAAGUCACUCCUCGUAACCUAGCCCCUUGUGUGUUCCUUGGAGCCCUGGCUCUCCCUCCCAUUCCGACCAAGAAAGCCAGUCACCAGUUAGUGCAUAACAAACAAGGGAUUCCCUACAUCAGAGAAAUCACUCUCUACUUAAAAUGACUCAUCUCCACGCUUCCCUUGAAUAAAAACAUUUUAUUAUGUUCAAUAAAACUGCACCAAAAAAAUAAUAGCUAAAGACAGUUUUUAAAUAACUUAUACCAACACCUAAAAAGGGUUUCCUGGGGGAAAACGAAAAUAUUGGCGAGGAUAUUUUAAGAGCUUCCUCC